CAACACAUAUGUUUUAUGAAAAUGGAUGAAGAAGCGAGUGUGAUUCUGGGCUCCAAUCAGAAAGAUGAGUCAAAAUUAAUUUUAAAAAUUGAAGCUAUAACCUAGAUGUUGCUACAUCUGCAUACUUUGAGCUGAAUGGAUAAGCAUGUGUUUGAAUUUAACUAUUUCAAGUUCACCCUGUCCUUGGCAACCGCUUAGCUCUCUCAAGCCUUUGGUAGGUCAAGUUGUGUUUUUCAAACUAGCCUUUACUGCGAUGCCCUUUUUAAUUAAGAAAUAUAAUAGUACCAUAUAUCUGAAGUGAAAAAUGACGCAAGGACAAAGUGAAAAACAAAGGCACAAAAAAGCGUGAUGGCAUGUGGUUUAGACGACAAAGGUCAGUGAGGCUAGAUAGUUGAAGUAGAUCACAAAGGACUUGGUACACCAUAAAACAGGGCUUGGGCUUGUUCUGGAGGCAAU
RNAcentral lists this long non-coding RNA (456 nucleotides) under Fukomys damarensis (Damara mole-rat). Its description in RNAcentral is "lncRNA (ENSFDAG00000023538.1)". The record is from RNAcentral. Lineage: Eukaryota; Metazoa; Chordata; Mammalia; Rodentia; Bathyergidae.